CAGGCAUAGGCAAACUCGGCCCUCCAGAUGUUUUGGGUCUGAUGAUGGGAGUUAUAGUCUCAAAACAUCUGGAGGGCCGAGUUUGCCUAUGCCUG
This is a non-coding RNA of Podarcis lilfordi (Lilford's wall lizard), 95 nucleotides long. The record is from the annotation of a GenBank genome assembly. NCBI's taxonomy places the organism in Eukaryota, Metazoa, Chordata, Lepidosauria, Squamata, Lacertidae.